Molecule: transfer RNA, 75 nt
Filed under: Staphylococcus intermedius
Lineage: Bacteria; Bacillati; Bacillota; Bacilli; Caryophanales; Staphylococcaceae
Also listed under: 2 other names
Description: tRNA-Gly
Rfam family: tRNA
About the family: Transfer RNA (tRNA) molecules are approximately 80 nucleotides in length. Their secondary structure includes four short double-helical elements and three loops (D, anti-codon, and T loops).
Source: RNAcentral
GCGGGAGUAGUUCAACUUUUAGAACACUUUCCUUCCCGGAAAGAGGUAUAGGUGUAAGUCCUAUCUUCCGCUCCA